GCGGCCAUGGCGGAAUUGGCAUACGCGCACGUUUGAGGGGCGUGUGGGAGACCGUACGAGUUCAAGUCUCGUUGGCCGCACCA
Molecule: transfer RNA, 83 nt
Filed under: Clostridiaceae bacterium
Lineage: Bacteria; Bacillati; Bacillota; Clostridia; Eubacteriales; Clostridiaceae
Also listed under: 1 other name
Description: tRNA-Leu
Rfam family: tRNA
About the family: Transfer RNA (tRNA) molecules are approximately 80 nucleotides in length. Their secondary structure includes four short double-helical elements and three loops (D, anti-codon, and T loops).
Source: RNAcentral